Molecule: long non-coding RNA, 483 nt
Filed under: Helianthus annuus (common sunflower)
Lineage: Eukaryota; Viridiplantae; Streptophyta; Magnoliopsida; Asterales; Asteraceae
Description: sRNA HanXRQr2_Chr16g0730501
Source: RNAcentral
UAGAUAAUUAGGUUUUGAGCAGCAAUCUUCCUUUCUCUACAUUCUCCUUCAAUUUCAUAUAAGCGGCAAAAAAUUGAUAACCAGAUUCUUCACAUGGCUUCUCAAAACCAUUUUUUGAUUCCACGCCGCUGUGCUCUCCAACAAUCCCUUCAAUAGCGGCUACACGAGAGGAUCCCUGAUUCCAGUUAAAUCAAGCAAUGACGUUCAACGAGCCGUGAAUGGAGCCGAGUAUCAGCUUCGUUAAAGCUCUCAGUUUUUAAAUGAUAUCUGAUGAUGCGUUCGUUCUUCAUAUUCAUGACCAAUGUUCUUCACUUAAUUACAGAUAAAUAUGGAUUCCUCAGGAGCGGGUUUGAUUAGUCCCGAGACAAGAACGAUUGGAUAUUUUUGUACGAUUCUGGAUUAUCUGGAUUAUUGACGUGAUAUCGUAGUUACAUGCAAAUUUAAUCCAAUUACUACUAAUAGAUAGUGGUAAGUGGGUAUCGA